AUACGGAGGGGGCUAGCGUUGUUCGGAAUUACUGGGCGUAAAGCGCGCGUAGGCGGGCUGGUCAGUCAGGGGUGAAAUCCCGGGGCUCAACCCCGAAACUGCCUUUGAUACUGCCAGUCUAGAGGUCGAGAGAGGUGAGUGGAAUUCCGAGUGUAGAGGUGAAAUUCGUAGAUAUUCGGAGGAACACCAGUGGCGAAGGCGGCUCACUGGCUCGAUUCUGACGCUGAGGUGCGAAAGCGUGGGGAGCAAACAGGAUUAGAAACCCCAGUAGUCC
This 274-nucleotide ribosomal RNA is filed under the name uncultured bacterium. RNAcentral describes it as "partial 16S ribosomal RNA". It matches the Rfam family "Bacterial small subunit ribosomal RNA", at positions 523 to 796 of the family's 1533-position model. The record is from RNAcentral.